RNAcentral lists this ribosomal RNA (215 nucleotides) under Chryseobacterium vrystaatense. Its description in RNAcentral is "23S rRNA. Bacterial LSU". It matches the Rfam family "Bacterial large subunit ribosomal RNA", at positions 2696 to 2925 of the family's 2925-position model. The record is from RNAcentral. Lineage: Bacteria; Pseudomonadati; Bacteroidota; Flavobacteriia; Flavobacteriales; Weeksellaceae.
AUUGAACAAACCUCUGGUGUAUCAGUUGUUCCGCCAGGAGCACCGCUGAGUAGCUACGUUUGGAAGAGAUAAGCACUGAAAGCAUAUAAGUGCGAAACUCGCCUCAAGAUGAGACAUCUUUUAAGGGUCGUUGGAGAUGACGACGUUGAUAGGCUAUAGGUGUAAAGGCAGUAAUGUCAUAGCCGAGUAGUACUAAUUACCCGUAGAUUUAUAGC